RNAcentral lists this transfer RNA (62 nucleotides) under Proasellus cavaticus. Its description in RNAcentral is "transfert RNA-F(TTC)". Lineage: Eukaryota; Metazoa; Arthropoda; Malacostraca; Isopoda; Asellidae. The record is from RNAcentral.
ACCCGGGUAGUCUAAAUAAGGACGUAACGUUGAAAGCGUUAAGGAGCGCUACUCUCUGGGUG